UGUCAAGGGGAGUCCUAACCG
This 21-nucleotide microRNA is filed under the name Cordylochernes scorpioides. The record is from RNAcentral. Lineage: Eukaryota; Metazoa; Arthropoda; Arachnida; Pseudoscorpiones; Chernetidae.